This is a long non-coding RNA of Oncorhynchus keta (chum salmon), 491 nucleotides long. RefSeq lists it as uncharacterized. Lineage: Eukaryota; Metazoa; Chordata; Actinopteri; Salmoniformes; Salmonidae. The record is from RefSeq and is a predicted model, not a curated record. The transcript is spliced from 2 exons.
GAUGUUUUAGAGCCAUCUCGAGGCUUCUCGAGGCUUGUAGAUUUAACAAUGGUAUAACCAAGAUCUAGCUUUGUGAUAACUGUACUGUAUACAUUACAGUACAAUUCUGAUAACAGCACCACCAAGGAGGCUGAUUGGCUGAUUAAAGUACCAUCAAGGAGGCUGAUUGGCUGAUUAAAGUACCACCAAGGAGGCUGAUUGGCUGAUUACAGUACCACCAAGGAGGCUGAUUGGCUGAUUACAGUACCACCAAGGAGGCUGAUUGGCUGAUUACAGUACCACCAAGGAGGCUGAUUGGCUGAUUACAGUACCACCAAGGAGGCUGAUUGGCUGAUUACAGUACCACCAAGGCGGCUGAUUGGCUAUCUGUGCUGAGCUCACACCUUGUAAAUCUGCCCACCUGACCUGACUCUACAUAAUGGGAAGUUUAGAUUUCUUCUGCUUUCUUUUUGGUUUCAAUUUUAAUAAAAAAAUAAAAAAGGUAAAUAAUA